GCGUCGGCUGGGCAUUGGCGGGCCCGCGUGCCUGUAGAGCACGUUCCCCUGCGGACUUGGCGGUUCAACUCCGUCCCGGCGCA
This 83-nucleotide transfer RNA is filed under the name Isosphaeraceae bacterium. RNAcentral's name for it is "tRNA-Tyr". The record is from RNAcentral. Lineage: Bacteria; Pseudomonadati; Planctomycetota; Planctomycetia; Isosphaerales; Isosphaeraceae.